This 253-nucleotide ribosomal RNA is filed under the name uncultured bacterium. Its description in RNAcentral is "partial 16S ribosomal RNA". It matches the Rfam family "Bacterial small subunit ribosomal RNA", at positions 524 to 776 of the family's 1533-position model. The record is from RNAcentral.
UACGUAGGGGGCAAGCGUUGUUCGGAAUUACUGGGCGUAAAGGGCGCGUAGGCGGCUAGGCAAGUCAGAUGUGAAAGCCCCGGGCUUAACUCGGGAAUUGCAUCUGAAACUGCUGGGCUUGAGUUCUGGAGGGGGUAGUGGAAUUCCCGGUGUAGCGGUGAAAUGCGUAGAUAUUGGGAGGAACACCUGCGGCGAAGGCGGCUACCUGGACAGAAACUGACGCUGAGGCGCGAAAGCUAGGGGAGCAAACAGG